This is a long non-coding RNA of Saccostrea cuccullata (small rock oyster), 2959 nucleotides long. RefSeq lists it as uncharacterized. The record is from RefSeq and is a predicted model, not a curated record. The transcript has 4 exons. Lineage: Eukaryota; Metazoa; Mollusca; Bivalvia; Ostreida; Ostreidae.
AAAUUGGUGGGCAAAUGAAAUUUGUAAAAGAAAUUCAAAGGUGAAUAUUCAUUUUUUCUGCAUUUUGAAGCAUUUUUUGCUUCCCGAUUACUUCCCUUGGGUUACUCUCUAGCGUCUGGAGGUACUAUAUGUAGACGUUGUAAUGGUAAAUAAAUGAUUUGGUGAGAAAAGUUAUCCAAGCAGGCGAAGAUUUGCAGUGUGGAAGAAGAAAAAGGACCAAGAUAUAAUAAAAAAUGAAGACAAAAGGUGGAUGAAACUUACUCAUGCUUACCUACAUACACACCAAUGACACCUGCAACAUGGAUACAAGACUGCAACUACACACAGCCAUCUCCUUGGACCCAACAGAUACCAGUGUCACAGUUUGAACAGCAGAUGCAAACACAACCAACUCCCGACAUUCACACUCAACAGAUGCUUACAAAACAGAUUUCUCUUAAUCCGCAACCAUCUCAAGACAUUGAAAUACAACAAAUGCCAACACACCAACCAAUGCGGCACCUCAAAUUUCCUUAGAACAAAUGCCAAUGGCACAAAUGAUGCCUUAACAAAUGCCACCACAGAACCCUGCAACUCCUUCCCAGCACACCACACCACAAAAGAUGCCAUCAACACACUUACAUGUAGUAAGCCCACCAAGGACACCAAGGAGGUCACCAAGGAAGCAUUUCUCAUCUACACCCGAGGAUUCUGAUGGACUUAUGACAAGGCUCCUUUCAAAACCAUCCUUUGUCAGUUAAGAGGGAAGCACUGAGGAAAGCAAAAACUGCAGCAAAGAAGGCUCACUCAUCAAAAAUGGCCUUCACCUUGACAGCAAAACUCCUUCCUGCAAUUCUAACAUGUGAGGAGUUGGCCCUUGGUAGAGGACAAGGGUUAAAGUCAAAAGAUGGAGAUAAAAGACCAACUCUUGAUUCCACAAAGAUGACUGCGUUGAAAGAAUAUGUAGCAGUCUGGUGUGAGAAGAAUCGUGGGAAAUAUGGAGAAAAAGAGAUAAAUGACGCUGUGACUGAGCAGGUUUCAUAUGCCCGAAAAAAAGGAAAGGAAAUAAAAAAUAAAAAAAAGUCAACAGCUGAGUGAAAGAAAAUUUAUGUUUAACUUUGUAAAUAUGAUGAUCACGAACUGGUUAUAUUUGAUUGUUGGACAUCACAAAAUUUAUUGCUAGGAUUUUAUGAAACCAAGAUUAAUGUACAAUAUAGUAAUUUGACAACUUGUAAAUUUAAAUUGUUUUUUUUAAUUACUGAUUUAACUUUAAAGACUUUAAUAUCUUAAUAAAAUGUAAUAGUUUAAUUGUUACAAUGAGUUUGUCUAUGACUUUAUUUUGGAAAAAUGUCCAUUAAAAUUGAAAGACAGAAUUAAUUGGCAUAAUCCGCUUAAUGUACGCCUAAGCAUUCCGCUUAAUGUACGCCUAAGCAGUAUGCUGUUUUCCGUCUAAAAUUUAGCAGGAUUUUUAGGCGGAAUCUUUAAGCGGAAUCUUUAGGCGGACUAAUUUGCAUAUUUCGCCUAAGUUUCCGCUUGAAUUCCGGCAGAACUCCAUCUAAAGUUCGCUUGUAUUUUGUCUAAGCUUACUCUUUAUGAGUAUUGCUGACUUCAGGCGGAAUACGCCUUAGUUGUCCGCCUGAAAUCCACCUUUUCUCCGCCUGGAAUAUUUCGUACGGGCUAUGCAGUAAGAGUGAUCUUACCUUAAAAGUCAGAUAGAAAGAUAGUUGUUCACCAUCUAUUGAACAAUUUGUAACAGAUUAAAAUAUUCUUAAUAGCAUUAUCUUAGAAUAAGAAUAAGUAAUUGAAUUAUUAAUAUUUGCAUUAAUUUUCCCAACUGUAGACAACCAUGGUUUCUGUUCAUGAAUUAGAAUAAUUCAUUGUCUCUAAGCAUUUUUUUCCUGUAGAAAUAAGGCAGGUACUUGAUAAAAAUGAACUAAUAGUCUCAAUAUGCAUACCUUUAUAUGGUAAUAAUGCAGAUCACGUCUUGUUAUUGUAAAGAGCUUCUUUAAAUUUAAUAUUAUAUGGUUUGCUAAUUAAGUUACAUUGUAAAAUACAUUGUAGUUGAUAAUUUUCAUAGAGAUUUUGAAAAAAAAAAUCACAAGCCAAGAACUCUUGACUUACGUAAAUGUAAUACUUUGUAGCAUUUUGUGCUUAUUAUGUACCAAGUAACUAUAUUGAAAUUGGCAUGGAAGGCCUCGUGUAAUUUAAAUCUAUAUCAGUCUAGAUUUUUAAAGUCUAAGUCUACAAUUUUAUUUCAUGAUGAAAUGGAAAUAUAAGGAAUCACUGUCUAGUUUUGAGAGUAUGCCAGGGACAUCAACAAUAGUGGGAAACAUGGGAUAAUUUUAGCAUAACGGGCAAAUUAUCCUAUGUUUCCCACUAUUAUUGAUGCCCUUGCAUACUCUCAAAACUAGAUAGUGAUUCCUUAAAAAACAUAUAAUUUAGAAAUUAUGAUGUAGCCGGUAAUAAACUGGUACAUCUAACUGCAGUAAGCAAUAAUAGAGGAUUGUUAUUUUUGUAUUCUGCAAGAAAGGGGGGGUCUAUAUCUUUGAUCAUAUUCUCACCUAUCAGUAUGAAUUAUUAUUCUUUUAUGGGUCAAAUGACAAUGUCUCAUUGAUUUUACAGAUUUUGAGCUUAAAUUUUUUGAUUUUUUAUUAUCAAAAGAAAAAAUAUAUCUUGUUAUAUGAAGUAUAAGUUAAAGCUGUUUUUUGGCAAAAUGCCAAUUUUAUGAUUUUUCAAUUUGUUAUAGUCAACAUUUGUUGUUAUUUGCCCAUGAAUGUUUUUGAAUAUUUUCAUUAUUUGUGACAAGUACCUUCAGAUGAAAUAAGUGAUACAUUGUGAAAGUUCUGCUAAUUUUUUAUUUUUCUUCUCAAAAUGUUUCAGUUUUUCAGUUUUGACUAAAUUUCGAAAAAUUGAUAUUUUGCCAUUGUUUGACUAAGUAUUACAAAAUAUUCAAAUAAAUCUUUAACACAAUAAAGAUAUA